Octodon degus (degu) is the source of this 4506-nucleotide long non-coding RNA. RefSeq lists it as uncharacterized. The transcript has 3 exons. The record is from RefSeq and is a predicted model, not a curated record. NCBI's taxonomy places the organism in Eukaryota, Metazoa, Chordata, Mammalia, Rodentia, Octodontidae.
AUGAUCUCUAUUUUUAGGGCUAGUGGAAAUAGUGGGAUGAUGUUAUUAUUCAUCUUCAUGUUCUGAUAGCUAUUUCCUUAACCGUUAACAUCUUCCCACCCUUCACGAAACCUGGCACAGUGGGAAGAAGUGGAGGGAGAGGGGAUGACAAAGGAUGAGGCUGCGUUACGUGCACAUGCCAACUCCACGCGAGGAAGUUCUUAGGCACCAGGACCUGGAGAGCAGAAGCGAGCGGCCUGCCCUGAUGCUCUAGGAGCCUGUAGGCUGUGGACAGGAGCGAAAGCAUCAUAAACUGUGCUAACAGCUGCCAUUCCGGGGGCCUCCUGGGCUCAGGCUCUAUGCUAGAGUGGUUUCAGUCACAGCUAUAACCUUGCAGGCUCUGCAGGUGGUGGCAAAAUGUGACCUGUGACGUCAGGCAAAACCACUUCCCGUUGAUGCCCACGCAUCACCUGCACGGCGUAAGGGUUGGACCUGGUGGUCUCCUCAGCGCUGACCCGCUCUGCUCAGCCACUAACCCACUGCUGCAUUUGGAGAAGAUGAAUCUCCAUGUCGCUGUACUCCUGUCGGAUGGGUUAUCUUUAUUGCAAUAGUUCACCUUUACAGUUAAAAAAAUAUUACCCUAAACACUAACUGUACUGUGAAAUGUGGGUUUUGAGGAUCUUUAAGGAAUGGUGUCAGUGGAUCCAGGGUUUAACCUAGAUUCCAUCAACUAUGGGCGCCUGGGACUUGCUCUGCCUUUCUAAGUCUUCUGAUUUCAGGAAGACAUCUUACCCUGGAAGGUUACUGCAGGGCUCAUGUAAGGUGAUAGAUCUGAAAGAAUGACAUUGGGAAGAUGAGAAACCAAGCGAGUGUCUGCAGGAAUGGAAUUUCCAAUAUGAUAUUCUCCAUUGGCCAAGAUGUGGCAGGCAGGUACAAGGCAAGGAGCAGGCAAUUAGGAGUAAACACAGGGCACUCCCAGAUCCAAGCCCAUCGGCAAAAUUGGGAAAGAGCUUGCUGACAAAGUAAGAGUCAGGAAAAGGGUGGCUGGGCUCUGCUGAGGAGAAAGAUGGCCACUAUUUUGAGCAGGACCAGGACCUCAUGGAUCUAGACAGAAACUCAUUGCCAAGUUUUUCCUUGUGUCAAUCUGUCUCCUUCUACCGGAACCUGAGAGUGGGGUCAGCGAGUCUCAGGUUCAUGGUGCUUCUCAGAUUGCGCGCUUUGGUAUCAGCUGGCUGUCCCCUGCCAUGGCUUUCAGGGCUGAGGAAAUGGGCCAGGGAAGUGAGAUGACAGACCUGAGGUCACAGCACGGUGGAGAACCUCCGGGCGAGAAGGAGAUGGGCAUGGCCUGCACCCCCGCCGGGGGCUGGCCGAAGAACUGAGCUCACCCCACUGCUCCGGGGCCACUGGAUCUCUCCAGGACAAGACUCAUCACAAGAUUAGUUGGCAGCCGGGUGUGGUGGCACACAGCUGCAAUCCCAGCAUUUGGGGGACUGGGGUGGUGGAUCCCUGUGAGCUGAAGGUGGAUCUGAGCCACAUAAAUGAGUUCAAGGCCAGCCUGAACUACGUUUGUGAGAGCCUGUCUCAAACACCAAAGGAGGAAGUUAGAGCCAUGAGCAAUCUGUUCUUGUAUAAUAGGCUGGAGCCAACAGCAUGAUGUAUGGAAUAUUGUGUCCUGCUAGGUUCUGUGACAAAAAUCUAAGUUUACACUACUUGCCCUUGAGCAGGACCAGCAGAUCCCUCCUGCCAUGGUGGAGAACUGUGUCCUCUUCAGUGGCUUCCCUGAGGUGGAAGACUGCAAUCCAGCCACUAACAAUCAAUUGGGCUUUGUCUUCUCCAUUAGAAUGGUGGAAAUCAUUACUGUUGUUAUCAUGCCGUUAGGCGAUUAUUUAUUCAGGGCCUCGCGUGUGGCCCACACCAUGCCAUUAUCUAUGCGAUCUCCCAUCUGCACAAUCAACCAGCUGCACACGAUCUGCAGAUGCCUCCGCUGAGGCUCAGCAUGGGUAGGUAACUUGCCUGAGGUCACACAGGUGCUAAGAGGCUGAGCCAGGACAAAAACCCAGUUAUGUAUGUGUGGCUCCAAGCCUGUGGUCCCCCUCAUGCACUGUGGGCUCAGGGACAGCGGAGAAGCAACGGUAAGAAUGAAAACACUAGACAGUUGGCUGCAUCAAAAUCACCAGAACCAUCAAAACUUGAAAGUCAGCAACCAAAAUCAUCAAUCCUUCCAUGGACCUAACUGGAUUCUCCAAAAAGCCUACAGGUGACACGUAAAAAGACAAUGUCAUUAAAUCUGAUGAGUGCUAAUUAAGCAUCUCGGGAACCCUUUUGAAAGAUAAUCUUUGUUAGCUGACUCAAUGAUUUCAUCCAGCUGGACCAUUUAGAAAAAUGACUCAAAGAAGCUCUUUUUAAAUAGCAUCAUUUAGGGUCUGCUGAGAAGAAAAGAAAUGGUAGAAUGCAAGUGAUUAGCUUGGAGACGUGGGGCAGUGCUGCAGGCAAAGCAGAAGGGAGCGAGGUGGCCCAGCCACGGCUGUAGAAAAUGUCUCCCAUUGCUAUCGCUGGGAAGGGUGGAGGUGGCAGCCACCUACCUCUACCUCCAGUGGCACCUGCUGUCCUGUCAUCAGUAGCAGGAAGCUAGGAGGGCUCAGGCCUGCAUAGAGAGGUGACAGGUAAGCUGGGGACACCCUAUGAGAAAGGCCUUGAGCUUUUUGGGCAGUGAGCCUACUUCAGGAAAUGCUCCUCUGGAGAAUAAUCGGCCAGCCAGAGUCAUCCCAGCAUGGUCACUCACCAUUCUGGCUGAAACGUGGUUUGCUCCCCAGUGGCUUGUGUGUUGAAAGCACUGUCCCCAGAGUGAUGUUGGGAGGUGGCAGAGCUUUAAGUGGCAGAGCCUGGUAUCCUCCUUAGAUUAUGAGGGCAUCACCUGCAGAAGGGACUCAUUUAGUUCUUGAGUAUGAGUUGUUAUUUAUAAAGGAAGACUGGCCCCUCCCCACCCCUGGCUCCUGUGUCACCAUGUGACCCUUCCACAUUGUGAUGCCGUCCACCUGGAGGUCCACCUCAGGUGGAUGGUGCUGUGCUCUUGGAUUGCCAGAACUGUAAGAAAAGGAAACCUCUUUUCUUGAUAAAUUAUCUAGCCUUGGGUAGCUUUGUUCUAGCACCAGAAAGCAAACUGGCACACCUACCAGGCAUGGUAGCCAUGUCUACAGAUGCUGUCUCUGCUUCUUACCAACUACUCCAUGGCUUGGUUUUAAUAUCUAAGUUUUACAUGUGCAAACAACCUAAACUCAGCCAGAUUAGUUAGUAUGCCCAAGUCUGCAUGUGUGGAAUUUCUACCGCGGGUCUUCUUAUCAGGAUCCAAACAUUUCUAUCUAAUGCAGGGCCCCUUCUUUGAGCCAACUCACACCGACUUCUUUCUGAAUAGUCGGAAAUCAUGGAGGAAGAACCCAAAAAAUAGGGCACGCAAAAUCUAGAAAAGGAUUUGUUUAAGAAGAUAAGUAACCCUGCUACAAUAAGGAACCAGUGACAAGAGAGGCCAGAGGCACACAGAGGGGACUGCUGCGUGGCUGAGAGUAACAGCCCCGAGCACUGUCCCUGGUCUGGCACUGAAGGCUGAACAGACAGGAGCCAGGAGGCCCCUGCACCCCGGCGGGGGACUGCGCGCAGGAUUCCCAGUGUCAGGAGAAACAAGGACCAACAUGGGGGCGCGGGGACAGGGAAGAGGAUUCUGGGAAAAACUUUAAAAUCUUGCUCUAACUUUCUUCUUUUUAGCUAAAAAAGAGCUGCAGUAAAAUUUAUGUAGAGGGAGAUGAAGUUCAACUCCCCAGUUCUGGUAAACCUAGACGCCCGACUGAGCCCUGCAGGUCGGUCUCCCCUGACCCAGGAAGCUGCGUCUGCCCCUCCCCGGGCCAUCUGCUGCUCCCCUCCAGCCGCGGCCUCCACUUGCGGUCAGAGGCCGGCACUUAGCCGGACAAGAACUCCGUGGUGUGCACCGCCGACCAGGCCUGUCUGCGGGUGCAGCGCUUGGGGGUCAGCGGUGCUGGCGUCUCCACCGCGCGUGUUUCCGGAUUUCCGAGUCGCGCUCUCACCCACAGCCCUACGUCAGCGGCAUAGUCAUUACUCUUCUGUGGGUGGAAUGUCACCGCCAUCGAGGAAGCUGCUGUGUAGGGACACAGCUGCGCGCCCCUGCUCUUGUCUUAAAGUCCAUUUUCUGCCCCCAUCCUUCUCCCUCCGUGCUCAGAUCCCCUUCUGCCACAGACGUCAAGGAGUCUUGAGGUGUCGCCCUUCCCAGGUCAACAGUCACAGCCGCAAGAGCCUACAGGGGAAACGAGACUCCCCCGUGCUUCCCACGUGUUCGUUAAGAGUAUGGGAGCACUUGGGCGAGAUUAUUUAGAAGUCUAGGAACGGAUGGCUCCCACUUCCAACCUGUCUUCCCACCGGCCCCGGGCACCUCCUGGUGGUACGGUGAUGCCUCCCUGCCCGCCUGUGCCCCUCACUCAUUGUGCACUCGCCGUACUAAGGGUAGAAGGGGCAACAGAA